This 1318-nucleotide long non-coding RNA is filed under the name Nicotiana benthamiana. RNAcentral describes it as "long non-coding RNA (NBEN_LNC014272)". The record is from RNAcentral. Lineage: Eukaryota; Viridiplantae; Streptophyta; Magnoliopsida; Solanales; Solanaceae.
UUGUAUAGGAUAAGAUUGAAAUGGAAUGUGAAGGUGAGAGAAGAUCAGAUUUUUGAGGGAAGGUUAAGGGAGUGAAAUCAGGGUAAUUCAGGGGUAUAUUGGGUAAAGAACUUAGGGGAAUCUUGCAUUAACCUCCUGGGAAGCUUCUUUGAAGCUUAAAGAAGGCUUGACUUGGCCAACAAGUCAGGAUUUUAGGGAUUGGAUAGCAAACAAUAAGAAUUAGCCAGGGACUGAUUUGAAAACUGAACAUAUUUGGAGCUGCCCUAAGAGCUGCAUAUAAAAGGAUAUCUAAGAGAGUCUUAAAGAGGGGAAGAGAGAAAAAAUCUGGAAGGAUUAGAGAGCUAAGAAUCUGAAAACACAAAUGGCUGCAAAUCUACUGUUUCCUUGGAUUUUUUGACUGGUUUUUCAGCUUUUUCUUGAUUCACUGAAAUACUUUUGAGUAAUGUUUAAUCUUUCAAUCCCAGAAAUCCCAAAAGAAAAACAUUUUUCUUUUAUGCCAGUUUUAGAUUAGCUUUCAGCAUUCAAACACACAAAAUACAAAAAAAUAUGUAUUCAUAAUUAGAAAAACCAAAAAAAAUGGUGAAACUCAAAAAUAAACACUCUCAAUUUGAUUUUCUGUCUAAAUUUUAGUUUAGGUAACUGAAUCACAUUCCUGAAGUUCAUUUUGGCAUUUUGAAGAUCAAGGAAAAUUACUGUUGGGUUUCUAGUAAUAUGGAUUUCAUUUGAUCAGGCCUAGUCCUUCUAAUUGGGUAUUCUGAUUGUCAAAGUUGUCUCUGAAGUGCACUGUGGUGAUUGUUUUGUGGUCAUUAUGUCUUCUGGUUUUACUACGAUUUCCUGGGUUUACAAACUAUUUCUAGGUUGAUUAAGUUGAGGCUGGUUGUGGUUGAUCGCUGCUUGUUGUUGUUGUUUGUGCACUGCUGCCUACUGCUGAUUUUUCCCCUUCUUUGUUCUUCAAUUUCCAAUUCACCCUUUUGUAACUUUGUUGGACAUGAAGCUCGAAGUUGAAAGCAUGAACUGAUAUGAAGAUUUGACCUGUUCUAUGAUAUAUUUGUACUAGAUUACUCAAUUUAUCAUGUUGGCUGUUAAAAAUGAUUUGAAUUCCUAGCCUGCUAUGUAAUUUUAGUCAUGUGAUUAAGUUCCUCUGGUGUUAUUUGCUUGCAACAAUAGCUCACUGCUGUAGUUUUGUCUUGUUCAAAUGAUGGUUCAUGUGUAAGGUGACCUUAAUGUUGGUGAAUUUGUGAAUAUGGACACCUGCUGUUUAAAGCUCAAGUUCUUUUGAAUUGGUUUGAAGAUGGAAUUGGCCAUUACAUGGCCUGGG